Molecule: long non-coding RNA, 796 nt
Organism: Hylaeus anthracinus
Lineage: Eukaryota; Metazoa; Arthropoda; Insecta; Hymenoptera; Colletidae
Exons: 3
Source: RefSeq, a predicted model, not a curated record
AUGAAUAAAAUAUCGUGUGGUAACUAUACAGCGCCUGUCAGGAGCGAACAAUUUACAGCCUAUGAUUCAGCGCGAGUUCGGAGAAAGAACUCGUCACGAAUUGUAAGAUAUUCUGAAAUGUUCAAGUCUCUCUCGCUGUGCCAAUACUUUCCGAAAUUCCACGUAGAUUAAGAAGCAGAACAUGUAUGGAGUUGUUUUAAAUAUUUUCGUUCGAAUAUCCACUAAUCUUAUCGUUACAUGGGUCAGUUGUUAUGUAAAAUAUUAGCGAUAGUGGUUGACAUCCGUGAGAUCAUCGUAUAAGUAUGGAAAGCGACGCAAGCUUUUUCAUUCCCAAUUUUAACGAUAAUUCGUCCCAAUGAAAUUUGGGAACUGUUACAUGAAAAACCAGUUACCAUUCUUUCGAUAUGAUAUCGGCAUGCAAAAUAGAUCAACGCUUGGCACUCGGCCAAAACAAAACAAAUCGAAAGCAGCGAUGCGUUCCCUUAACCCAAUUAACGCGAGCACCGCGUUACAUUAUGGCUGGCUUUUACGGACACGAAAGCAUGGACACAUAGAUUAGGGUUAUGGAAAUGUUAGUGAUUGUCUUUUAACGUGUAAAGGAAUUCCUUACCGAAGACCUGGGUGGUAUAACAUUGAAGGGAAGCAGUCCCUUCCCAGCUGUACCCCAGCACUCAAAAAAACUGGACCAGCAACACCACUAGUCACCCCCGGAGGAAGGCUAGUAAUUCUAGGACCAUGGAUAUUUGAAUCAGAGUCAGUGGCAGUAGUUAUAGCACUAGUUACCGGUGCUUGUACU